This 253-nucleotide ribosomal RNA is filed under the name uncultured bacterium. RNAcentral describes it as "partial 16S ribosomal RNA". It matches the Rfam family "Bacterial small subunit ribosomal RNA", at positions 524 to 776 of the family's 1533-position model. The record is from RNAcentral. RNAcentral also lists the same sequence under 1 other name.
UACAGAGGUCUCAAGCGUUGUUCGGAUUCAUUGGGCGUAAAGGGUGCGUAGGUGGCGAGGCAAGUCUGGUGUGAAAUCCCGGGGCUCAACCCCGGAACUGCACUGGAUACUGCUUUGCUAGAGUACUGGAGAGGAGAUUGGAAUUUACGGUGUAGCAGUGAAAUGCGUAGAUAUCGUAAGGAAGACCAGUGGCGAAGGCGAAUCUCUGGACAGUUACUGACACUGAGGCACGAAGGCCAGGGGAGCAAACGGG